AGAACGAACGCUGGCGGCAUGCCUAAUACAUGCAAGUCGAACGAACACUUCGGUGUUAGUGGCGCACGGGUGCGUAACGCGUGGGAAUCUGCCCUUGGGUUCGGAAUAACAGUUGGAAACGACUGCUAAUACCGGAUGAUGACGAAAGUCCAAAGAUUUAUCGCCCAGGGAUGAGCCCGCGUAGGAUUAGCUAGUUGGUGAGGUAAAGCUCACCAAGGCGACGAUCCUUAGCUGGUCUGAGAGGAUGAUCAGCCACACUGGGACCUGACGACACCGGCCCAGACCUCCUACGGGAGGCAGCCAGUAGGGUAAUUUGGACAAGUGGCGAGAGCCUGAUCCAGUCAAUGCCGCGUGCAAGGAAG
Molecule: ribosomal RNA, 362 nt
Filed under: uncultured soil bacterium
Lineage: Bacteria
Description: bacterial SSU rRNA
Rfam family: Bacterial small subunit ribosomal RNA
Source: RNAcentral